CCUACGGGAGGCUGCAGUGGGGAAUAUUGGGCAAUGGGCGCAAGCCUGACCCAGCAACGCCGCGUGAAGGAAGAAGGCUUUCGGGUUGUAAACUUCUUUUAAGAGGGAAGAGCAGAAGACGGUCCCUCUUGAAUAAGCCACGGCUAACUACGUACCAGCAGCCGCGGUAAUACGUAGGUGGCACGCGUUGUCCGGUUGUACUGGGUGUAAAGGGCGUGCAGCCAGGAAGACAAGUCAGCUGUGAAAUCCCACGGCUAAACCGCGGAACUGCCUUUGAAACUGUUUUUCUUGAGUGCCGGAGAGGUCAGCGGAAUUCGUUGUGUAGCGGUGAAAUGCGUAGAUAUAAGGAAGAACACCAGUGGCGAAGGCGGAUGACUGGACGGCAACUGACGGUGAGGCGCGAAAGCGUGGGGAGCAAACAGGAUUAGAUACCCGAGUAGUC
This 442-nucleotide ribosomal RNA is filed under the name uncultured bacterium. Its description in RNAcentral is "partial 16S ribosomal RNA". It matches the Rfam family "Bacterial small subunit ribosomal RNA", at positions 338 to 795 of the family's 1533-position model. The record is from RNAcentral.